This 429-nucleotide ribosomal RNA is filed under the name uncultured Flammeovirgaceae bacterium. RNAcentral's name for it is "bacterial SSU rRNA". It matches the Rfam family "Bacterial small subunit ribosomal RNA", at positions 99 to 527 of the family's 1533-position model. The record is from RNAcentral. Lineage: Bacteria; Pseudomonadati; Bacteroidota; Cytophagia; Cytophagales; Flammeovirgaceae.
CGUAGGGAGGCAGAACACUUAUGCUUCUGCCCUCAACAGGAAUAUAGCUCGGGGAAACUCGCAUUAACCCUCCAUAACAUUGCGAGGUGGCAUCACCGCUCAAUUAAAACUCAAGUGGUUGAGGAUGAGCAUGCCCAUGAUUAGUUAGUUGGUAGGGUAACGGCCUACCAAGACGAUGAUCAUUAGGGGAACUGAGAGGUUGAUCCCCCACACUGGCACUGAAUACGGGCCAUACUCCUACGGGAGGCAGCAGUAGGGAAUAUUGGUCAAUGGGUGAGAGCCUGAACCAGCCAUGCCGCGUGCAGGAAGACGGCCUUCUGUGUUGUUAUUCUGCUUUUAUCUGGGGGAUAAAAAGGUCUUGCGAGACCAAUUGAAGGUACCAGAUGAAUAAGCGCCGGCUAACUACGUGCCAGCAGCCGCGGUAAUAAA